This 1483-nucleotide ribosomal RNA is filed under the name uncultured Bordetella sp. RNAcentral describes it as "partial 16S-23S ribosomal RNA intergenic spacer". It matches the Rfam family "Bacterial small subunit ribosomal RNA". Lineage: Bacteria; Pseudomonadati; Pseudomonadota; Betaproteobacteria; Burkholderiales; Alcaligenaceae. The record is from RNAcentral.
AGUUCGAUCAUGGCUCAGAUUGGAACGCUGGCGGGAUGCUUUACAGCAUGCAAGUCGAACGGCACGGACAUCGGUCUGGUGGCGAGUGGCGAACGGGUGAGUAACAAAAUGGAACGUGCAUAGUAGCGGGGAUAACUACGCGAAAGCGUAGCUAAUACCGCAUACGCCCUUCGGGGGAAAGCGGGGACCUUCGGGCCUCGCACUAUUAGGAGCGGCCGAUAUCGAUUAGCUAGUUGGUGGGGUAACGGCUCACCGCUAUGACGAUCCGUAGCUGGUUUGAGAGGACGACCAGCCACACUGGGACUGAGACACGGGCCCAGACUCUACGGACGCAGCAGUGGGGAAUUCUGACAAUGGGGGAACCCCUGAUCCAGCCAUCCCGCGUGUGCGAUGAAGGCCUUCGGGUUGUAAAGCACUUGCGAAAAGAAACGGCACGGGAUAAUACCCCCGUGCAACUGACGGUACCUGCAGAAUAGCACCGGCUAACUACGUGCCAGCAGUCGCGGUAAUACGUAGGGUGCAAGCGUUAAUCGGAAUUACUGGGCGUAAAGCGUGCGCAGGCGGUUCGGAAAGAAAGAUGUGAAAUCCCAGAGCUUAACUUUGGAAACUGCAUUUUUAACUACCGAGCUAGAGUGUGUCAGAGGGAGGUGGAAUUCCGCGUGUAGCAGUGAAAUGCGUAGAUAUGCGGAGGAACACCGAUGGCGAAGGCAGCCUCCUGGGAUAACACUGACGCUCAUGCACGAAAGCGUGGGGGAGCAAACAGGAUUAGAUACCCUGGUGCAGUCCACGCCCUAAACGAUGUCAACUAGCUGUUGGGGCCUUCGGGCCUUCGGUAGCGCAGCUAACGCGUGAAGUUGACCGCCUGGGGAGUACGGUCGCAAGAUUAAAAACUCAAAGGAAUUGGACGGGGACCUCGCACAAGCGGUGGAUGAUGUGGAUUAAUUGAUGCAACGCGAAAAACCUUACCUACCCUUGACAUGUCUGUAAAUCCCGAAGAGAUUUGGGAGUGCUCGUAAGAGAACCGGAACACAGGUGCUGUACGGCUGUCGUCAGCUCGUGUCGUGAGAUGUUGGGUUAAGUCCUGCAACGAGCGGCAACCCUUGUCAUUAGUUGCUACGAAAGGGCACUCUAAUGAGACUGCCGGUGACAAACCGGAGGAAGGUGGGGAUGACGUCAAGUCCUCAUACCUUAAGGGUAGGGCUUCACACGUCAUACAAUGGUCGGGACAGAGGGUCGCUAACCCGCGAGGGGAGCCAAUCCCAGAAACCCGAUCGUAGUCCGGAUCGCAGUCUGCAACUCGACUGCGUGAAGUCGGAAUCGCUAGUAACGUGAUCAGCAUGUCGCGGUGAAUACGUUCCCGGGUCUGUACACACCGCCCGUCACACCAUGGGAAAGUGGGUUUUACCAGAAGUAGUUAGCCUAACCGCAAGGAGGGCGAUUACCACGGUAGGAUCAUGACUGGGGUGAAGUCGUAACAAGGUAG